RNAcentral lists this ribosomal RNA (446 nucleotides) under uncultured bacterium. RNAcentral's name for it is "bacterial SSU rRNA". It matches the Rfam family "Bacterial small subunit ribosomal RNA", at positions 354 to 796 of the family's 1533-position model. The record is from RNAcentral.
GUGAGGAAUAUUGGUCAAUGGGCGAGAGCCUGAACCAGCCAAGUAGCGUGAAGGAUGACGGCCCUACGGGUUGUAAACUUCUUUUGUGCGGGAAUAAAGGAACCUACGUGUAGGUUUUUGCAUGUACCGUAACGAAUAAGCAUCGGCUAACUCCGUGCCAGCAGCCGCGGUAAUACGGAGGAUGCGAGCGUUAUCCGGAUUUAUUGGGUUUAAAGGGAGCGUAGACGGGUUUUUAAGUCAGCUGUGAAAGUUUGGGGCUCAACCUUAAAAUUGCAGUUGAAACUGGAGACCUUGAGUACGGUUGAGGCAGGCGGAAUUCGUGGUGUAGCGGUGAAAUGCUUAGAUAUCACGAAGAACCCCGAUUGCGAAGGCAGCCUGCUAAGCCGCCACUGACGUUGAGGCUCGAAAGUGCGGGUAUCAAACAGGAUUAGAAACCCUAGUAGUCC